This 800-nucleotide unclassified non-coding RNA is filed under the name Melitaea cinxia (Glanville fritillary). RNAcentral's name for it is "misc RNA ENSMCXG00005011821.1". The record is from RNAcentral. Lineage: Eukaryota; Metazoa; Arthropoda; Insecta; Lepidoptera; Nymphalidae.
UGAACCGCUCUGGUGUGGUUUAAAAACCGUCCUACAUUUUAAUAUAAGAAAAUUGGUCAUUUUUUUGUUUUUUUUUUCUGUAAUUGUACUCAUUUUUUUUUUAAUUUAAUUAUUAUGUAGCACGGUAUAUACUUGCAAAAUAGACAUAAUCACUAAGAUGGAGGUGCAAUCAAAGUCGAUGAACAAAGUUGUGGUUUUGUUAAUCGAUAAAGUGUGUAUUGUCCAUUCAUAAAUUUUUCACUUGAGACAUUUAAAAUGAUAAUUUUCUCUGUAAAAUAAAUAUUAACGAUAAAUUAACUUGAAAUGAAAUAUUUUAGUUAUAACAUUACAAUCUUUUAUUAUUAAAUUUGAUAUAUUAAAUUUGGAAAAAAUUAACAGAAAUUAAAUACUUUAUUUUUAUCCGGACAAUGAAUUACAGUUAUCCGGACAAUGAACGACAGUUAAAAAAAAAAGCUAAAGUGAUGGAUAUUUAAUACUGUAACUGAAAAAUUUAGAAAUGAAAACAACAAAUAGUGUCGAUACGGAAGUAUAACUUCCUCGACAUGGCUGUAGUAUCAUUGUAGUGCUCAAAUCUCAGCACCUAGAUAAGUCGGACCUAAAUGUAGAUCCGAUACAACCUGACAGUAUACUUUUGGUACACUGAAAUAAGUAUCUCACGAUGGUAUAAAAGUAGACACACGACGGUAAUGUUCCUUCGGAAGCAGCAUAAUUCGAAUUUACAGUAGCUAUCAACAUAUUUAGUGGUCUACUUUCUUGAAUCAUGGUGCGUUUGAUGGUCGCAACGCGUGGUUGCCGUCCUG